Molecule: non-coding RNA, 1046 nt
Organism: Danio rerio (zebrafish)
Lineage: Eukaryota; Metazoa; Chordata; Actinopteri; Cypriniformes; Danionidae
Source: RefSeq, a predicted model, not a curated record
ACAAAUACAUAAGCCAUCGACAAUGCCCUGGCUUCAUAACUGAAAUGAUGACAUGCUCGUGUUUCAAUGUCUGCAAUAAGGUCAAAUCCAAGGCUACAGCGGGUACUGAUAGACAAUGGCGCUAUGUUGUUUAUCCGCACCUGAUUGACGUGCUAGAAACAGGUGCUGAGAAACGACGCACAACAAAAGCUCUGGGGGAUGUUAUUGUCAAAAUCCCAUGUAACUCGAUGCCACAUUGGAAACAAUGAACUCUAGAGUAAUAACCACUAGCAUGAGGCCAGCUGAACAACGGGACUGCCAAACCAUAUGGAUUAUUAGCCACACUGACCUUACAAACUAUUAUCACCACCCACAACAAACCAGACACACCAUUGUUCCUCUUUAUCAUUAUAGGCUUACCUAAAAAAAAUGGUUCACUUCCUUAUAUAGUGUUGUGGGUGUUUCCAGUUUACACUACAGGGAAAUAUCAGAGUACUAUUUUAAAAAAAAAGAAAAAAAAACUAGCCCAACCAGUUGUCCCAAAUGCCAUGUCAGGAAUGUGGGAACGACUAUGGGGGAGGGGCUGGUUUAUACUGGAAAAAAGGGUGCUGUCUUUUCUGGAAAAUCUAGCUCAUGCUGUUAGCUGGGUUUCGGGAUACUAGUUGGUUUCUGGCUGGCAGAUCAUCAGGGGGAUGGUGGGAUCAGAUAGAUGAGUUCUGGGUCAUCGAGUGCCGCGGCAUAGCCCUGCAGAAAGCACACCAAAACAAACACAGCCAAAACCAUAAAAACAUUCUUGCCUUUACAGCUGAUGUAUGUUUUGAGAUUUACAUUGUUUUGAACACUGUUUGAUCUGUUUACUAGAAAAGGGUGACAAUGAUUUAAUUAAAACAACCUAAAAUUGUAUAUAAUUAAUAAAGCAUCUUUAGUAAUUGAUGUAUUAAAUGUGAAUGAAAGUCAGCAUGAAAGCUUGAAUCACUAUGUACAUAAAUAAUAUGAAUGACACCCUUUAAAAUGUGUAUCUUCAGCUGUGGUUAACUUACCUACAAUAAACUUUAUUUACUUGACAA